AUGGCGCAGCGUACGUAGGGUCCUGAGUGUCAAUGAGACCUGAGGGGCGAGAGCCCGGGGAGUCCCGGCCGCGGCGGCUACGGCGACUUCUCUACACCAGGGACCGCGGGGACCCGGCCUCGCCGCCUCCUCCUUGAGCCUGCGGGCAAGUCCGGACACUCGUCCUGAGGAUGUCGGCGUCGCCGCCGCCGCGUCUCUUUCUUCCGGGUGCCACUGGCUGGCCUCGGGCCCCCAUCCAGCCCCUGGAGCCGCGGCGGCGACGACAACGGCAGCAGGUGAACUGUGCACCAAGGGCGCCUGCGCCGCCUACGUGGAGCUCUCCGAGGCUAACUACGGAGCACCGGAGGGGACAAGCACAAUGUCGGGGCCUGCACAUGCGCGCUCGGCCCGUCGCUCCCGAACUCACUGCACUGGAGGACACAAGGUUUGGGGCUGCCUGAUUUCGUUGCGUGCGGCCCUCGCGGCUCAGAAAUGGAGCCAAAGCCCUGACUCUCACCUGGGCUUUGGCCCUGCGAAAUCAGACGGGGAGAGUACUGCUUCUAUUGAUGGCAGCAGGGCCGACGGGCCCACUGCAAAGAACACAGGGAUGAGCGUCCAGGAUGGGAGAAGGGGAGAUCCAGAGAACCUGACGCGGGCCCUAAUUGAUAGUGUACUUUUCUUUAGUAGCUGUAGCUAGGAUUCUAUGUCUUCGGUUCCAGAGGGGCCCGCUUCCCUUCCCGGAACUCUUCCAGCCUCGGGAAGUCCCUGAUACCGGCCGCCAGGGGUCCAAAUGUUUUAUGCCAAUACCGUAAAACCUCAACUGUUUGGACACCUGCUUUAUUCUUUUCUUCACCGAAAUCGUAUAUUUCACAAAUUCAUUCAGAAACCUUUAUCAGGCCUUGGAGAUUUCACAGCCUAGUGGAAGACACAGAUUCCUAAUGAGUCCAAAUUUACUGCUAACACCUGCAGUCAUCCUACAAGAUUUUAACGUUUCUGUGCCUCAUUUAUCCAAAACCCGAAGUUUGGCUGCCUGCGAAUCCUCAGGCCCAAUUUCAGCAACCCACUUUUGCAUGCUGUACCUUUGGUAUCAUCUGAAACUGCUUACAUUGUCUGAGGCAUCAGAAUCUAACAGUAUAUGCUGAUCUCCACGUUUUAGCAAAUUUUGUUUUCCAGCAAUAAUAGGGGGAACCUGCUCUCGAGAGUCCAUGUUCUGAUCCCUAAAUGUAUUAGAGCCAAAGUGGGGCCUGGAACACUGCCUUAACACCUGGGCUAAGUCCUCUUAUAUCUCAUAGUGAACACCUUAUGUAAGGGGUCCCCAGCCCCUGGGCCACAAACGAGUACCAGCCCAUGGCCUGUUAGGAACCGGGCUACACAGCAAGAAGUGAAUCUCUGGCACGCCAGGGAAGUUUAAUCUGUAUUUACAGCUGCUCCCCAUGGCUCAUAUUAUCGUCCGAGCUCCACCUCCUGUCAGAUCAGCUGUGGUGUGAGAUUCUCAUAGGAGCUGGAACUAUUGUGAACUAGGCAUGAGAGGGAUCUAGGUUGUGUGCUCCUUAUGAGAAUCUAAUGCCUGAUGAUCUGUCACUGUCUCCCAUCACCCCCAGAUGGGACCAUCUCGUUGCAGGAAAACAAGCUCAGGGCUCCCACCGAUUCUGCAUUAUGGUGAGUUGUAUAAUGAUUUCAUUAUAUAUUACAAUGCAAUAAUAAUAGAAAUAAAGUGCACAAUAAAUAUAAUGCAUUUGAAUUGUC
This is a non-coding RNA of Chlorocebus sabaeus (green monkey), 1725 nucleotides long. Lineage: Eukaryota; Metazoa; Chordata; Mammalia; Primates; Cercopithecidae. The record is from RefSeq and is a predicted model, not a curated record.